Molecule: long non-coding RNA, 296 nt
Organism: Pollicipes pollicipes
Lineage: Eukaryota; Metazoa; Arthropoda; Thecostraca; Pollicipedomorpha; Pollicipedidae
Exons: 3
Source: RefSeq, a predicted model, not a curated record
UCGGUGCCCGAGGCCAGGGUGAGCAGGCUGGCUGACUGACUUGACUGACUCAGCCUGAUUGAAGGGUGACGUUCAGAGGCAUGUGCAAAGUCGAACAGGGCCAAAGCACUCUGCGAGGUGCCAAAGGUGGCGGGCGUGCCGCGCUGAAAGAAAGAGGGUGCUGAAAGGCUUGCACCAAAAAAGGCGCGAAGACCAGCGGCGGCGCCGCCAGCUGUCACCGUCGCUGGUCCUUCAUCUGUCCAGCAGCGGCGAUGACGAGCCGAUGCCUGCCUUGGUGGAGAUGGCAUCGCCGCCGC